ACGUAGGUGGCGAGCGUUAUCCGGAAUGAUUGGGCGUAAAGGGUACGUAGGCGGCAUGAUAAGUCUGGAGUGAAAGGCUACAGCUCAACUGUAGUAUGCUCUGGAAACUGUCAAGCUAGAGUGCAGAAGAGGGCAAUGGAACUCCAUGUGUAGCGGUAAAAUGCGUAGAUAUAUGGAAGAACACCGGUGGCGAAGGCGGUUGCCUGGUCUGAAACUGACGCUGAAGUACGAAAGCGUGGGGAGCAAAUAG
RNAcentral lists this ribosomal RNA (250 nucleotides) under uncultured bacterium. RNAcentral's name for it is "partial 16S ribosomal RNA". It matches the Rfam family "Bacterial small subunit ribosomal RNA", at positions 525 to 775 of the family's 1533-position model. The record is from RNAcentral.